RNAcentral lists this ribosomal RNA (459 nucleotides) under uncultured bacterium. Its description in RNAcentral is "partial 16S ribosomal RNA". It matches the Rfam family "Bacterial small subunit ribosomal RNA", at positions 338 to 795 of the family's 1533-position model. The record is from RNAcentral.
CCUACGCGAGGCUGCAGUGAGGAAUAUUGGUCAAUGGGCGGGAGCCUGAACCAGCCAAGCCGCGUGAGGGAAGAAGGUACAGCGUAUCGUAAACCUCUUUUGUCAGGGAACAAAGGCGGGGACUAGUCCCCGGAUGAGGGUACCUGAAGAAAAAGCAUCGGCUAACUCCGUGCCAGCAGCCGCGGUAAUACGGAGGAUGCGAGCGUUAUCCGGAUUUAUGGGGUUUAAAGGGUGCGCAGGCGGCCUGUUAAGUCAGCGGUAAAAGCCCGGGGCUCAACCCCGGCGAGCCGUUGAAACUGGCGGGCUGGAGUUGGAGAGAAGUACGCGGAAUGCGCGGUGUAGCGGUGAAAUGCUUAGAUAUCGCGCAGAACCCCGAUUGCGAAGGCAGCGUACCGGCUCCACACUGACGCUGAGGCACGAAAGCGUGGGUAUCGAACAGGAUUAGAUACCCCUGUAGUC